Molecule: ribosomal RNA, 449 nt
Filed under: uncultured bacterium
Lineage: Bacteria
Description: bacterial SSU rRNA
Rfam family: Bacterial small subunit ribosomal RNA
Source: RNAcentral
UCCAGACUCCUACGGGAGGCAGCAGUGGGGAAUAUUGGGCAAUGGGCGCAAGCCUGACCCAGCAAUGCCGCGUGAAGGAAGAAGGCUUUCGGGUUGUAAACUUCUUUGACAGGGGAAGAGCAGAAGACGGUACCCUGAAAACAAGCCACGGCUAACUACGUGCCAGCAGCCGCGGUAAUACGUAGGUGGCAAGCGUUGUCCGGAUUUACUGGGUGUAAAGGGCGUGUAGCCGGGAAGGCAAGUCAGAUGUGAAAUCCGGAGGCUCAACCUCCGAAUUGCAUUUGAAACUGUUUUUCUUGAGUACUGGAGAGGCAGACGGAAUUCCUUGUGUAGCGGUGAAAUGCGUAGAUAUUAGGAGGAACACCAGUGGCGAAGGCGGCCUGCUGGACGACAACUGACGGUGAGGCGCGAAAGCGUGGGGAGCAAACAGGAUUAGAUACCCUCGUACG